Molecule: ribosomal RNA, 253 nt
Filed under: uncultured bacterium
Lineage: Bacteria
Description: partial 16S ribosomal RNA
Rfam family: Bacterial small subunit ribosomal RNA
Source: RNAcentral
UACGGAGGGUGCAAACGUUGCUCGGAAUCAUUGGGCGUAAAGCGCACGUAGGCGGACUGUUAAGUCGGAUGUGAAAUCCCUCAGCUUAACUGAGGAAGUGCACUCGAAACUGGCAGUCUUGAGUAUGGAAGAGGGUCGCGGAAUUCCCGGUGUAGAGGUGAAAUUCGUAGAUAUCGGGAGGAACACCAGUGGCGAAGGCGGCGAUCUGGGAAGAUACUGACGCUGAGGUGCGAAAGCGUGGGGAGCAAACAGG